GGUAGCUUGCUACCAGGCGUCGAGCGGCGGACGGGUGAGUAAUACUUAGGAAUCUACCUAGUAGUGGGGGAUAGCACGGGGAAACUCGUAUUAAUACCGCAUACGACCUACGGGAGAAAGGGGGCAGUUUACUGCUCUCGCUAUUAGAUGAGCCUAAGUCGGAUUAGCUAGAUGGUGGGGUAAAGGCCUACCAUGGCGACGAUCUGUAGCUGGUCUGAGAGGAUGAUCAGCCACACCGGGACUGAGACACGGCCCGGACUCCUACGGGAGGCAGCAGUGGGGAAUAUUGGACAAUGGGGGAAACCCUGAUCCAGCCAUGCCGCGUGUGUGAAGAAGGCCUUUUGGUUGUAAAGCACUUUAAGCAGUGAAGAAGACUCCGUGGUUAAUACCCACGGACGAUGACAUUAGCUGCAGAAUAAGCACCGGCUAACUCUGUGCCAGCAGCCGCGGUAAUACAGAGGGUGCAAGCGUUAAUCGGAAUUACUGGGCGUAAAGGGAGCGUAGGUGGCUCGAUAAGUCAGAUGUGAAAUCCCCGGGCUCAACCUGGGAACUGCAUCUGAUACUGUUGAGCUAGAGUAUGUGAGAGGAAGGUAGAAUUCCAGGUGUAGCGGUGAAAUGCGUAGAGAUCUGGAGGAAUACCGAUGGCGAAGGCAGCCUUCUGGCAUAAUACUGACACUGAGGCUCGAAAGCGUGGGUAGCAAACAGGAUUAGAUACCCUGGUAGUCCACGCCGUAAACGAUGUCUACUAGUCGUUGGGUCCCUUGAGGACUUAGUGACGCAGCUAACGCAAUAAGUAGACCGCCUGGGGAGUACGGCCGCAAGGUUAAAACUCAAAUGAAUUGACGGGGGCCCGCACAAGCGGUGGAGCAUGUGGUUUAAUUCGAUGCAACGCGAAGAACCUUACCUGGUCUUGACAUAUCUAGAAUCCUGCAGAGAUGCGGGAGUGCCUUCGGGAAUUAGAAUACAGGUGC
This 971-nucleotide ribosomal RNA is filed under the name Psychrobacter sp. RNAcentral describes it as "bacterial SSU rRNA". It matches the Rfam family "Bacterial small subunit ribosomal RNA", at positions 74 to 1041 of the family's 1533-position model. Lineage: Bacteria; Pseudomonadati; Pseudomonadota; Gammaproteobacteria; Moraxellales; Moraxellaceae. The record is from RNAcentral.